Molecule: non-coding RNA, 1931 nt
Organism: Macaca mulatta (Rhesus monkey)
Lineage: Eukaryota; Metazoa; Chordata; Mammalia; Primates; Cercopithecidae
Source: RefSeq, a predicted model, not a curated record
AUCCUUUGACAUCAGCACAGCUUUGAAAGGGGGAUGGGAGAGCGAGGAGAAAGCAGAAAAACCAGCUUUGAACUAUGCAUGCAAGGCCUCUUUCAAGCCUCAAAUUCUAGCUGACAAGACACUGCUGGAUUCCAUAGCUGGCCAGGAGAUGAUGUGAUUUCUGACACAUGUGGGCAGUGGGCACGCACCACCUGAGCAGCCUGCUGGCCUCACACCUGCCCUGGCUUCGCUGCCAUCUGAACAGCAGAAUUAAUUUUUUUUUUUUUUUAAAGAGCACGUGCUUUCAGUUGGGUAACAGGAAUUUAGAUCUUAGCUGCCCUCUUGCCUCUGGGCCUUCACUGCUGACCUGUGGGUUGUCUGUCUGGAGGGGACGGCCACCGAUCACCAACGACCACUACGAAGCAGUGUUGAUGGCUCUCACUGCCACAUACCCCAGCCUCGUCCUCCUCCUCCGAGUGAUGCCAGAUGAACUCAGACACAAUUAGGAACGAGGCGUUCAGUGGCUCAGGAAGGAGCCCAGGAGCAGAUGCUUAUUGAAGAUCUGGGCUUUAAAGAGACAGAGAACUGCUCGCCAAUGAUUUAAUAUUUCAUAUGAGAUAAGAUGAAAAAAUGUGCCUAGCCUAUGACUGUGCUGAUGAGUGGAAUACAGAAAUAAGGGGGAAAGGCUCCUGAGAGCUUUAUAUCUAAUAUACGGAAUAGCAGUCCAAGAAAGGGAAGACACUUUUUGAUGUAUUUUUCCUAAUGAUCUCAGAUCAAAGGAUCUCGCCUUUAUUAGUGAUUUACCCCACGCUCUUUUGAAACCCUAUGCAUGUAAGUAGUUCUUUAAAGAAUUCCAAGGCUGAUCUGGCCAUCACUGAUAAAACAGACUCUAAGAUAGAAAUAAUAAACAAAUAAUAUGAGGGAAGAAAAGAAGACUUGAAUAAAGGUAAGGUAUACUUCUGAAUUGGAAAUAUAAAAAUAUAAAUACUGCAGCUAUGCUGAUAAUUUUCCCCCAAACUGAUCUACAGGUUUAAAGUAUUUCCAAUUAAAAUUCUGGUGGGCCUCUAUUUUUCCAGGUACUUAGCAAAAGUAUUCGAAAGUUCACCUGCAAAAACUAAAAGAACAAGAAGAAUGAGAACACUACUAAUGAGAAAGGCUAGUCCUACCAACUGUAAAGCUGUAUGAAUUAAUGACAGUGUGAUGGGGCAAAAGAGGCAGAUUAAUGGAACAGAAGCCACAGCCCCAAACUGAGAAAUAUAUUGACACAAAUGUAAUAUAAUAAAGAGUGUAUCUCAAAUCAGUGGAAGGGGAAGAAUUAGAUAAUUGCUUGGCAAUCUUGGGGCAGACAACUGAUUAACUAUAUGCAGAAAAAAGUCAAAGUGUUUUCACAUCACACCAAAAUAAAAUUUGAGAUGGCUUAAACAGUUAAAUAAAAAUCAAUCAAAACCACCACCCCCAAAUCCCUAUAACUUUUAGAAGAAAGGGAAAGUGAAUAAUCAAUUCUCAAGCAAAAAAAGAACAUUUAAAUACUUCUGAACAAACCCCUCAGGAAUAGUGCUCAUAGUAAAAAUGACAAAUUUCUGUGGUUUGUUUUUUUGGAGGCAGGGUCCUGCUCUGUCACCCAGGCUGGAGUGAAGUGGUAUGAUUUCUGCUCACUGCAGCCUUGACCUCGUGGGCCCAAGUGAUCCUCCUGCCUCAGCCUCCUGCAGAGUCGGGACCACAGGCUUGUGUCACCACACCUGCUCAUUUUUUUCAUUUUCAAUAGAGAUGAGGUCUCUACUAUGUUGCCCACAGUAGUCUUUAACUCCUGGGCUCAAGUGAUCCUCUGGCCUCAGCCUCCCAAAGUCCUGGGAUUGCAGGUGUGAGCCACCAUGCCCGGCCUUAAAUCACAAAUUUCUGUAUGUUCUCUCCAAAAGCAAGCAAAAGGAAAUAAAAUGCUAUAAAUACAAGGA